GACGAACGCUGGCGGCGUGCCUAAUACAUGCAAGUUGAGCGCUGAAGGUUGGUACUUGUACCAACUGGAUGAGCAGCGAACGGGUGAGUAACGCGUGGGGAAUCUGCCUUUGAGCGGGGGACAACAUUUGGAAACGAAUGCUAAUACCGCAUAAAAACUUUAAACACAAGUUUUAAGUUUGAAAGAUGCAAUUGCAUCACUCAAAGAUGAUCCCGCGUUGUAUUAGCUAGUUGGUGAGGUAAAGGCUCACCAAGGCGAUGAUACAUAGCCGACCUGAGAGGGUGAUCGGCCACAAUGGGAAGGGGACACGGCCCAAACUCCUACGGGGGGGAGCAGUAGGGAAUCUUCGGCAAUGGACGAAAGUCUGACCGAGCAACGCCGCGUGAGGGAAGAAGGUUUUCGGAUCGGAAAACUCUGUUGGUAGGGAAGAAAGUUGGUGAGAGUGGAAAGCUCAGCAAGUGACGGUAACUACCCAGAAAGGGACGGCUAACUACGUG
This 497-nucleotide ribosomal RNA is filed under the name uncultured bacterium. RNAcentral's name for it is "partial 16S ribosomal RNA". It matches the Rfam family "Bacterial small subunit ribosomal RNA", at positions 28 to 507 of the family's 1533-position model. The record is from RNAcentral.